GGCGAACGCUGGCGGCAGGCUUAACACAUGCAAGUCGAGCGGGCGUAGCAAUACGUCAGCGGCAGACGGGUGAGUAACGCGUGGGAACGUACCUUUUGGUCGGAACAACCCAGGGAAACUUGGGCUAAUACCGGAUACGCCCUACGGGGGAAAGCGGGGGACUUUCGGGCCUCGCGCUAUCAGAUGAGCCUAAGUCCGAUUAGCUAGUUGGUAGGGUAACGGCCUACCAAGGCGACGAUCGGUAGCUGGUCNGAGAGGACGACCAGCCACACUGGGACUGAGACACGGCCCAGACUCCUACGGGAGGCAGCAGUGGGGAAUAUUGGACAAUGGGCGAAAGCCUGAUCCAGCGAUGCCGCGUGUGUGAAGAAGGCCUGCGGGUUGUAAAGCACUUUCAGCAGGGAAGAAAAGACGAAUGACCAAUACCAUUCGGUCUUGACGUUACCUGAAGAAGAAGCACCGGCUAACUCCGUGCCAGC
RNAcentral lists this ribosomal RNA (479 nucleotides) under uncultured bacterium. Its description in RNAcentral is "bacterial SSU rRNA". It matches the Rfam family "Bacterial small subunit ribosomal RNA", at positions 28 to 512 of the family's 1533-position model. The record is from RNAcentral.